This 253-nucleotide ribosomal RNA is filed under the name uncultured bacterium. Its description in RNAcentral is "partial 16S ribosomal RNA". It matches the Rfam family "Bacterial small subunit ribosomal RNA", at positions 524 to 776 of the family's 1533-position model. The record is from RNAcentral.
UACGUAGGGUGCGAGCGUUAAUCGGAAUUACUGGGCGUAAAGCGUGCGCAGGCGGUGAUGUAAGACAGAUGUGAAAUCCCCGGGCUCAACCUGGGAACUGCAUUUGUGACUGCAUCGCUGGAGUGCGGCAGAGGGGGAUGGAAUUCCGCGUGUAGCAGUGAAAUGCGUAGAGAUGUGGAGGAAUACCGAUGGCGAAGGCAGCCCCCUGGGAUAACACUGACGCUCAUGCACGAAAGCGUGGGGAGCAAACAGG